This 1234-nucleotide ribosomal RNA is filed under the name metagenome. RNAcentral describes it as "bacterial LSU rRNA". It matches the Rfam family "Bacterial large subunit ribosomal RNA", at positions 1564 to 2808 of the family's 2925-position model. The record is from RNAcentral.
UGAAUACGAGAUGCUACGGCGUCGAAGCAGUCUAUGUCAUACUUCCAAGAAAAGCUUGCACUGUCAUAAACAAAUAAUGCCUGUACCAUAACCGACACAGGUGGUAGGUAGAGUAUACUAAGGGGCGCGAGAUAACUCUCUCUAAGGAACUCGGCAAAAUGACUCCGUAACUUCGGGAGAAGGAGUGCCUUAUUUAUAAGGUUGCAAUAACAAGAUCCAAGCAACUGUUUACCAAAAACACAGGUCUCCGCUAAGUCGUAAGACGAUGUAUGGGGGCUGACGCCUGCCCAGUGCCAGAAGGUUAAAGAAGUUGGUUAGCAUCCGCGAAGCUGAUAACUGAAGCCCUGGUGAACGGCGGCCGUAACGAUAACGGUCCUAAGGUAGCGAAAUUCCUUGUCGGGUAAGUUCCGACCCGCACGAAAGGCGUAAUGAUUUGGAUACUGUCUCGGAGAGGGGCUCGGUGAAAUAGACUUGUCUGUGAAGAUGCGGACUACCUGCACCAGGACAGAAAGACCCUAUGAAGCUUUACUGUAACCUGAAAUUGAAAUUGGACUUUACUUGCGCAGUAUAGGUGGGAGGCGUUGAGAAUAUUCUUGCGGGAUUAUUGGAGCCAUCAGUGAGAUACCACUCUUGUAAUGUUAGAUUUCUAACUUUGUAUCAUUAUCUGGUCAAAGAACAGUUUCAGGCGGGCAGUUUGACUGGGGCGGUCGCCUCCUAAACGGUAACGGAGGCGCACAAAGGUUUCCUCUGAACGGGUAGAAAUCGUAUCUAGAGUGUAAAGGCAUAAGGAAGCUUGACUGUGAGACCUACAAGUCGAGCAGGGACGAAAGUCGGUCUUAGUGAUCUGACGGUGCUGAGUGGAAAGGCCGUCACUCAACGGAUAAAAGUUACUCUAAGGAUAACAGGCUGAUCUCCCCCAAGAGUUCACAUCGACGGGGAGGUUUGGCACCUCGAUGUCGGCUCAUCGCAUCCUGGGGCGGUAGUACGUCCCAAGGGUUGGGCUGUUCGCCCAUGAAAGCGGUACGCGAGCUGGGUUCAGAACGUCGUGAGACAGUUCGGUCCAUAUCCGGUGUAGGCGUUAGAAUAUUGAGAGGAGCCUUCUUUAGUACGAGAGGACCGAGAAGGACAUACCUCUGGUGUACCAGUUAUCGUGCCAACGGUAAACGCUGGGUAGCUAUGUGUGGAGUGGAUAACCGCUGAAAGCAUCUAAGUGGGAAGCCCACCUCAAGAUAAG